AGUGAACGCUGGCGAUAGGCCUAACACAUGCAAGUCGAACGGCGGCACAGUAAGAGCUUGCUCUUACGGGUGGCGAGUGGCGGACGGGUGAGGAAUACAUCGGAAUCUACUUUUUCGUGGGGGAUAACGUAGGGAAACUUACGCUAAUACCGCAUACGACCUACGGGUGAAAGCAGGGGAUCUUCGGACCUUGCGCGAUUGAAUGAGCCGAUGUCGGAUUAGCUAGUUGGCGGGGUAAAGGCCCACCAAGGCGACGAUCCGUAGCUGGUCUGAGAGGAUGAUCAGCCACACUGGAACUGAGACACGGUCCAGACUCCUACGGGAGGCAGCAGUGGGGAAUAUUGGACAAUGGGCGCAAGCCUGAUCCAGCCAUACCGCGUGGGUGAAGAAGGCCUUCGGGUUGUAAAGCCCUUUUGUUGGGAAAGAAAAGCAGCAGGUUAAUACCCCGCUGUUCUGACGGUACCCAAAGAAUAAGCACCGGCUAACUUCGUG
This 492-nucleotide ribosomal RNA is filed under the name uncultured bacterium. Its description in RNAcentral is "partial 16S ribosomal RNA". It matches the Rfam family "Bacterial small subunit ribosomal RNA", at positions 29 to 507 of the family's 1533-position model. The record is from RNAcentral.